GACGAACGCUGGCGGCGUGCCUAACACAUGCAAGUCGAACGAGGUCCAAGGGAGCUUGCUCCCUGAAGACCUAGUGGCGAACGGGUGAGUAACACGUGAGAAACCUGCCCUCGAGUGGGGAAUAACCCGGGGAAACCCGGGCUAAUACCGCAUACGCUCCUCUGGUCGCAUGGCCGGAGGAGGAAAGUUUUUCGCUCAAGGAGGGUCUCGCGGCCUAUCAGCUUGUUGGCGGGGUAACGGCCCACCAAGGCUACGACGGGUAGCUGGUUUGAGAGAACGAUCAGCCACACUGGGACUGAGACACGGCCCAGACUCCUACGGGAGGCAGCAGUGGGGAAUCUUGCGCAAUGGGCGAAAGCCUGACGCAGCAACGCCGCGUGCGGGAUGACGGCCUUCGUGGUUGUAAACCGCUUUCAGCAGGGACGAAAAUGACGGUACCUGCAGAAGAAGCUCCGGCUAACUACGUGCCAGCAGCCGCAGUAA
RNAcentral lists this ribosomal RNA (483 nucleotides) under uncultured bacterium. RNAcentral's name for it is "partial 16S ribosomal RNA". It matches the Rfam family "Bacterial small subunit ribosomal RNA", at positions 28 to 523 of the family's 1533-position model. The record is from RNAcentral.